RNAcentral lists this unclassified non-coding RNA (373 nucleotides) under uncultured Eubacteriales bacterium. RNAcentral describes it as "contains 16S-23S intergenic spacer region". Lineage: Bacteria; Bacillati; Bacillota; Clostridia; Eubacteriales. The record is from RNAcentral.
UCCGUGUUAUCCACGGCAGUCUCACUAGAGUGCCCAACUUAAUGAUGGCAACUAAUGACAAGGGUUGCGCUCGUUGCGGGACUUAACCCAACAUCUCACGACACGAGCUGACGACAACCAUGCACCACCUGUCUCCUCUGUCCGAAGAAGGGAACGGUUAAGUUCCUGUCAGAGGGAUGUCAAGUCCUGGUAAGGUUCUUCGCGUUGCUUCGAAUUAAACCACAUGCUCCGCUGCUUGUGCGGGUCCCCGUCAAUUCCUUUGAGUUUCACACUUGCGUGCGUACUCCCCAGGCGGAGCACUUAAUGCGUUAACUGCGGCACCGAAGUCUUGCGACCCCGACACCUAGUGCUCAUCGUUUACGGCGUGGACUAC